UCCUAGGUGGCUCAGCAGUAGAGAAUCUGCCUGCAAGGUAGGAGACUUGGGUUUGAUUCCUGGGUUGGGAA
Molecule: transfer RNA, 71 nt
Filed under: Ovis aries (sheep)
Lineage: Eukaryota; Metazoa; Chordata; Mammalia; Artiodactyla; Bovidae
Rfam family: tRNA
About the family: Transfer RNA (tRNA) molecules are approximately 80 nucleotides in length. Their secondary structure includes four short double-helical elements and three loops (D, anti-codon, and T loops).
Source: Rfam by way of RNAcentral